RNAcentral lists this ribosomal RNA (531 nucleotides) under Triticum aestivum (bread wheat). RNAcentral's name for it is "partial small subunit ribosomal RNA". The record is from RNAcentral. Lineage: Eukaryota; Viridiplantae; Streptophyta; Magnoliopsida; Poales; Poaceae.
AUGAGUGAUUUCGGUAUGGCACCAACAGAUGUUGGCCUAACUCCUAAAUUUGAACGUGCGGGCAAUCUGGAUGCUAAAACUUUUAUCUUGGGGCAAGGGAAUGUUAUGGGAAAAGAACGUAUUCACGAAUUUUUCAGUUGUGUUGGAAAUCUAAGUCUUGAUGAUGCUCCUAUACUUAAAACUACUAGAUCUUACGUGGAUGCUAUUUCAGCACUAGUUCUGAAACUUGAAAGUAAAUUUAUUUGUACUCAUCCUACUUUUCAAAGAUUGUUUUUUGAGCUCCCCGACAUAAAAAAUCCUAGGGCCAAAAAGUUGGCCACUCUCGUUCUUAUAAAUGAAUUUGACUACGUAAUACGGGAAGCUAGGGAAAUCUUUGAGUUUUAUGGUUUGAAUCGUGAAAACCCCAUGAUAGAUGAAAUUCUUUACAAUAGUGAUUAUGCACUAAGGCAUUUGCUUUGGGAUAAUAAGAUCUUUGAUGAGAAUCUUAAAAAAGAAGUCCCCCGUUCUAGAUAUAAUCCAACAAGUUUUUAA